This 326-nucleotide ribosomal RNA is filed under the name Salinibacillus xinjiangensis. RNAcentral describes it as "Bacterial large subunit ribosomal RNA". It matches the Rfam family "Bacterial large subunit ribosomal RNA", at positions 1580 to 1903 of the family's 2925-position model. The record is from Rfam by way of RNAcentral. Lineage: Bacteria; Bacillati; Bacillota; Bacilli; Caryophanales; Bacillaceae.
GAGUACCGAAGUUCCUGAUUUCACACUGCCAAGAAAAGCCUCUAGUGAGGAUGUGGGUGCCCGUACCGCAAACCGACACAGGUAGGCGAGGAGAGAAUCCUAAGGUGAGCGGGAUAACUCUCGUUAAGGAACUCGGCAAAAUGACCCCGUAACUUCGGGAGAAGGGGUGCUCGUUCAGGUUUCGGCCUGGAUGAGCCGCAGUGAAAAGGCCCAAGCGACUGUUUAUCAAAAACACAGGUCUCUGCGAAGCCGAAAGGCGAAGUAUAGGGGCUGACACCUGCCCGGUGCUGGAAGGUUAAGGGGACGAGUUAGUCCUUCGGGACGAA